This is a long non-coding RNA of Clupea harengus (Atlantic herring), 4928 nucleotides long. The record is from Ensembl. Lineage: Eukaryota; Metazoa; Chordata; Actinopteri; Clupeiformes; Clupeidae.
GUGUGUGUGUGUGUGUGUGUGUGUGUGUGUGUGUGUGUGUGUUUUGUUGUUCUACAGGCUCUGCUUUUAGAGAUUCAGUCAUCACUUUCAUUGUCUACAAGAAUAAAGUACACUUGCAUAUACUCCUGAAUAAAUCAUGAAUUAUUAGGAAUAUAAUUUUCAUUCUUCAUUUCUCUCCUGUACACAACCUUUUGAGGCCUAUUCUACUGCACUCCUUAUUGUACAUAAAAUAUUUAAUAAAAGAAAUCAAGCUACUGUGCAGUCAUCAUCUACCAGUUUUCCUAAUACACAUACAAAACUUACAUACAACACACAUGGUAAGUUUUAACUGAAACUCCUUCAGGAUAAGAAAUAGGACUAAAUAUAUGCAUCUAAAGAUCAAAAGUGCAUACGUGUCCAUUUCUAGAUAGGGUUCAUUUUUCCCACUUCCACUCUACUCAUUUAUCUAGUGAUGCUCAUAAUUCAACUAAAACUUAGGCAUGAGGAUAAUUUAAUAGAGAAUAUGGUCAGCACAUAUUCCAGAAUUUUCUAACCAUUCGAUCCAACAGCUAGACCUAAGAUGUAAUAUGGCAUCCAUUGAAUAGGAGUUGCUUAUGUAGGCUAACUCGAGUACUGAAAAGUACUAAAACUGGGUAAUUAUGAUCAGACAACUGAUACUGGGAGUUGCAGCAAGAUUUCAUAUUACUACUUCUGUCGCACUCCAGCAAAAACUGAACCGAAUGUGGUUACUCUUAACUCAUGUCACAUCAAUAUUCUCAGCCCGAGGGGAAAACGGCAGACGCUACAGAAGCCCACACGAUGCAGUAGAAAACGAUUAAGAGGGCCCUUUUAUGAAACAGUCAGCUGGAAGAAAGCCUCGCUAAUGUGAAGCACGAGUUUAGCCAUGCCCGGACAACACUGCUCGGCUCUCCUACGCGAAGCACCAGCAGAGAAUGGAGAGAGGUGAAGGUUGCUGGAGACUCUCCUGGAGAGGCUGCAUCACUGCACACUGCACUUGGAGUUGAGGACAGAGGGAACAAUGAGUUCUGUUUAAGAACACACCGACUGGCUCACUACAGGAAGUGUUGAGUCAGACAAUUCAACUUCAGUCUGCACAAAAGUCUAAUAAAGAAAUUACUCUUAUUUUAGAGAGCAAAUCACACUGAAUACGCAAGUUAAGGUUGAAUUCUAAAAGGUACAUGGGGAAUGUGUGAGUACUGAGAAUAUAACUAAAAUGUCUAAAGGAUUUUAAGAAAGAAGAGAACAACCACUUGUAUGUGGUGUGAUGUGCAUAUCACUGAUGGGUUAUUCAGCAUACCUUAGCUUUGCAUUUUUGGUCUGCAAUGUGUUCAUUCCAAUGCAUUCAGUCACAGGCCAUUACUGUGGCUAGUUAUUUCAGGAGUUGUCUUCAUUACAGUUUAAAACACAUCACUAAGCUCUGUAAACCUUUAUGUAUUAUUGUUAUCUUGCUUAAUGUGUUACUUAUAAUAAUAAUACUUCUGAGAUAUGAGGUAUUUAUAUAAAUUACCAUAAAUAAAUGUCAUCCCUUGAUACACUUCAAUAUCAAGUAUGAUGACAAAAUGUGGCUUUAACUAAAAGACCUGACAGCAACCAUAUUUGUAAGUGUAAUGACCAAGAAAUCACUCACAUGGGACCAGCUACUUUGUCCAGCACACCAUGACAGCAAACCGGAUGACAAUGUUGUGGAUUGACCUAGCUACACAAAUGUAGCCUUUAUUGUCACCAUUUGCAUGGUAUGAUCAUGCCAGAGAUACAUUUAAACUUUUGUAUUACUUAACACAGUACCCUAACCUCUGUUUUUUUUACAAAAACACUCAUUUGUCUGUUUAAUUACUGAUUGCCAGUCUCCUUGUUUAGCCCCCCAACAGAAAUCAUUUUUGAGGAGACAUGACGUAAAUGUGAAAAGCCAGCUCUUUAUCAAACUUCACAAGUAAAGACAAGACUCUUCUUUCAAUCGUCACUGUAUUUUUGUACAUAAUUGUUUUAUUUCUUGAGGUACACCCGGAAACCUUAGCCUAUUUAGAUUCAUCAGGCUACAUGAUAAAAUAAAAUGAAUAUGCCUAUAUGAACAUUUAUUUUUUUCAUAUAUAUAUUGUAAAUUAACAAAAUUUGCAUUCACUCCCAUUACCUAAUUUUUUCACACCCCCAGAUCCACACAUGAACAUGACCCCACUGGAGAAGUUGCAGCAAGAGUUGCAGAGCAAGAAUUCUCCGGGGGAACUUGCUUGCACCCCAUCACUUGUCAAAGAGUUUUGUUGUGGUGUGAAAGUGGGGUAGCGGCAUGGGAGGAGGGGGACACUCGAGGGGGGUGAGGAGAGGGUUUUGUUCUCCCAUUCAGGAGUGGCAGGGGCUCCUCCCCCGUGCCCUCAGACAUCUGUAGCAGCUGCUGCCCUGGCCCCCGUGCCUCAGUCCGGGUGCGGAGGGGUGAGGGGGUGUGUGUAGGGCCGCCUCUCCCUUUAUGGUGGCCAAAGCCUGCACACUUAGGCAACAACAUCUAUCAAAAAGCCAACAGUAGCCGUGAGGUCACCCUGAAAACACAACAGUGACCUUUUGACCCCUUAAGUGAGCUGGUCUCAUAAGCUCCUGGCCUCUCGUGCUGAUUUACUCACCUAUUAAACAACGCCCCCCGCCAGAAAGAAAAAGAAUAUGAUGGCAAAUUGCACACUUAAAUUGCUCAUUUUUGAUAUGACACAGUCCACUGGGGGAGUAUUUUACCUUGCAUCUUAUCAGGUCUGCCAUGGGGGGGGUUACAGAUGACCCCGGACACAAGUCCAGGGGGGGCCCAUGCAAAGGUCUUUGAUUAAAUAGUGUGUUAGAGAAGAGAGCUGUUUUGUCAUGUGGAAAUUGAACAUGCGUUGUGUGUUUAUUGGCGUGCGCAAAUGGCCAGUCAGCAAUGUGGGGGUGGGGGGCGUCAGUGGUGCCAUUCAGAGUUCAAUCCCCAAUGAGAAGAUUCUUGAGAUAAUUUUGUCCCUGGGCCCGAGCAAGAUGAACAUCUUCUGAAGACACAAACCUCUUUACCACUCAUGACAUUAAGAUAUUAGCUGCAUUUGCAUAGUCAUGCAACACUGUUGUACUUAUGGAAAGGCCUAAUGUGACAGAGAGGGAUGGGCUUAUUUCCAUGCUAAAGCAAUGUGUUAUGAUUCUGAGGGCAGGCGGGUUAAGAGGAUUUUAACUUGUGACAUCUUUUGAGUUAUGGCAAAGACCUCUUAAACUUGGAUUUUCUAUUCGUCAAUCACAUUGACUGGCUCAUUCCUUUACAUAUGCUGCCACCUUACAUUCACACUACAAUUGAAGCCUGUUAUCACAUGCAACAGUGUUUUCGGCUAGAUCUUCUCAAUUGAGGCUGUGUGGUGUGUGGUGUAAGCUGUAAGGCUGAGGUUAUGAGACAUUUGUAGGCCUCCAAUCCAUAAAAUGAUCUUAUGUUGAUGACACAAUAUACUGAAUCAAUUUCAAACCUAUAGCCUAUUCAACUGUAGUGGCAUUGUGGACAAAAAACAGACAAAUAUAUUUCCGUUACCAUUUCAAAUAAAAUACGAAACAUAAAAAGAAACAUUUGCAUAGCCUACUAAUGUUUAAUCGCAGUUUGAUAGUCAGUUUCAGUUCAACUUUAGGACAUGACCGCGUGAAGUAAGGCUAACGAGAAAGUAGCGGCACUUGCCUCCAUGGUUUCACAGACCCGCUGUUUCCAACCCAAACGGAAGUCCCGCCCCUCAGCUUUACUCCGAUGAUGUAACCUCUCUCCAAAUUUAGCAUGUUGUUGAUGCUUCAGAAGUUUUUUCCUCUGGCUGAGACUGCUGUCUAUUACUCGACGUCAUAACUAUCCUGUUAUUAUUGUAAACAGUCUGCCUGCUUGCUUUGCACUGUCGCCCUCCACCUAACCAAAUUCUCCGUGGCUCUUUGUUCACAAAGUAGAGGAAUCGACACCGAACCAGUCACACACAGCACAUUUGCCCUUGCAAUAUUACAAAUGUACGCAAUCAUAGUAAAUGUUCUAAAUGAGCAACAUGUGAGCGUGUAUUUUAUGAUAUCGCAAAAUAAUUAGGCUAUAUCAUUUAGAGCUGCGCCUGGACAACAAAUCACACAGCUCGUUGCAGCCGUAAGAAAUCACAUCAAACCGGCACUUCGUGUUUGGGCUUCACAAAGCAUUCCUUGAGAGACGGGAAAUUUCAUAUUAGACUCACUGUUAGGCAAAGAUAUUCCGUAUUCGUAGUCAAGCGAAAUACGCGUUAUCAACAGGCUACUACAAUGCGCUUUAUAUUUAUUUUACAAUAUGAAUGAUAAAGUGAAAUAAAUGUAUUGUAGCCUAUUUGAUUCAAGCACCACCACGCGCAGCUCAACAUAAAUACAUUCAAUGGACUAUAGCGCCAUUCUUUAUAGUUUACACUCAGUAGCCAGUGAACCGUGGUUUGAUCAUUUGUUCCCCAUGGUGCGAGGAAAUCAGCUAUGAAAAGGUCAAUAAUGUUGGCUAACGUAGCUCGGUUUGGUUUUGCCCGCGAAAAACAGCGCACACCAACUUUAAUCUUCAGUAAUUAAAACGGCCUGGAGAAAACAAAAUCGCGCUGUCGCGCUUUGUGAUCUCGCCAGAAAUUGGAGCAGUGGAUAUAGGACGAUGGGCGAUGUGUAGGCUAUAGAUAAGAGAUUACAAAAUAGCCUACUACGAGUGGUUAAUGACACUUACUUGAGUCUCCGAAACCUGGAAAGCGCCGUUCAUCCCUGCGUACGUCAACAAAACGCUCUACAGUAAUUGUAUUCCGUGAGGUAGCAGGACCAUCAGCCUGUCAAUGCCGGACCGCGUCUGUUUUUAUUGCAAUUACGGCAAGCUUCAAGGAAGUUGUCCUUUUGUUCCAGUAUUUAUACAUUGCGUCAACGUUGCGAGGAGAGAAGGCGGAGCGGUGGCACUUGGCGAAAAAAAGCAAGCACACGACCUU